Molecule: long non-coding RNA, 1295 nt
Organism: Cyprinus carpio carpio
Lineage: Eukaryota; Metazoa; Chordata; Actinopteri; Cypriniformes; Cyprinidae
Source: Ensembl
AUCAGGGAUGCAGGCCUGCUGCAGUUCUCUCCCUUUUCACUCUCACUGAAGCCCCAGACAGAAGCUCCCUGGAGACCUUCCCUUCUUGUUUAAACCUGACACAAAUUCCACGUCACAGUACCCAGAGUGACGACGCUUGCAGGCACAAAAGCAAAUAUUUCCUUUCCUGGUUGUACCCAACCACCUCUACACGUCCCCACCGACACCUGACCCCUCCCUUUCCUCACCAGUUCCAGCACUGCAGGCCGGCCAUUUGUCACAAAGUAAUUAUAGAAUUAUUGAUUGGCGAGCAAUUAACAGUCCCUCCCUCUUCACUAUCCCCCCUCCCCAUCUUUUAAUUUGCAGUCAGACUGGCAAGAGCAAAAAAGCUUUAGGAGUAACACAUUUAAUCCCUUUGGGAUUUCUCUAUAGUCUUCAGAUUAAUAGCGGGACAGAGACAAAAGGCCUUUUUUCACCUGCUGUUUCCUGUUCUGUCUGGCUGCAUGUCUCCAGGCCCUGGCUCUCUCCGACAGCGUCUCUCAUGCCUCCUACAGACUUGCAUCGAAAAGCUCCUUGUAUUAGCAUUGUGAUGAGGAUAUACCGUCGGAUAGCUGCUGAAUUUGAUAAACUCUGAGUGUGGUGCAAUAUAAAGGAAUGAGGCUGUAACUUCCUGAGGUUUUGGGGGGCAAUGAGCUGAAUCAGCCUCUGUUAGACGGCCUGGCCGGAGGAUGGAUGGAAGAGGACUUCUGGAUGCUGGUGGGCUGGGUUCAACUCCGAACUGAGAGGAUUUGAAGCCGUGUUUUGUUCCAGUAAGGUCCGAUCCCAGUAGAAAGAAAGUCACAGAUUUGGGACAACAUGAGGCCACCAACGGAGGGCGAUGUUUCCCAUGAAAUGAAUCGUUCCUCUUCAUCUAUGAAGCUAAAUGGAAAGAAUGUCAACAAGAAGGUCAGAUGCUCAUAGAAGAGCAGCUCGUGCACGGGUGGAGCAGAAGGAGAGAAGGAAUGGAGUUAAAUUAAGGAUAUCAUUGGACUGACAGUGAUCUGGGCAGCUCUCGAUAAGAUCCUCGGCUCUGCGGAGCGCCAGACGACGUGAGAAGGUCUGGCGGCGGGAUGGGGAGGGGGAAGGGGAAGGGGGCAGUUAAAAGUUUUCCGAGCCGUCUUCCCCCUUCAAUUUGCAUGCUUAAUGAUGCUGAGCAGGAGUUAAUAGUGGGUGUAAUGGCUUCUGACUGACCGGGCUCUGGAGUGGACCACAGGCUGGGCCACCGGAGCAGGGGUGGGGAGGGGUUAACGCACACCAUACGGCUCUGCACUCGCUCG